UACGGGGGGAGCAAGCGUUGUUCGGAUUUACUGGGCGUAAAGGGCGCGUAGGCGGUCGUGACAAGUCACUUGUGAAAUCUCCGGGCUUAACUCGGAACGGUCAAGUGAUACUGUCGGACUAGAGUACAGAAGGGGCAACUGGAAUUCUCGGUGUAGCGGUGAAAUGCGUAGAUAUCGAGAGGAACACCUGCGGCGAAGGCGGGUUGCUGGGCUGAUAACUGACGCUGGAGGC
RNAcentral lists this ribosomal RNA (232 nucleotides) under uncultured bacterium. Its description in RNAcentral is "partial 16S ribosomal RNA". It matches the Rfam family "Bacterial small subunit ribosomal RNA", at positions 524 to 752 of the family's 1533-position model. The record is from RNAcentral.